Molecule: ribosomal RNA, 467 nt
Filed under: uncultured bacterium
Lineage: Bacteria
Description: partial 16S ribosomal RNA
Rfam family: Bacterial small subunit ribosomal RNA
Source: RNAcentral
GACGAACGCUGGCGGCGUGCUUAACACAUGCAAGUCGAACGGAAAGGCCUCUUUCGGGGGGUACUCGAGUGGCGAACGGGUGAGUAACACGUGAGUAACCUGCCCUCGACUUUGGGAUAACUUCAGGAAACUGGGGCUAAUACCGGAUAGGAGCUCCUGCUGCAUGGUGGGGGUUGGAAAGUUUCGGCGGUUGGGGAUGGACUCGCGGCUUAUCAGCUUGUUGGUGGGGUAGUGGCUUACCAAGGCUUUGACGGGUAGCCGGCCUGAGAGGGUGACCGGCCACAUUGGGACUGAGAUACGGCCCAGACUCCUACGGGAGGCAGCAGUGGGGAAUAUUGCACAAUGGGUGGAAGCCUGAUGCAGCAACGCCGGGUGCGGGAUGACGGCCUUCGGGUUGUAAACCGCUUUCGCUCAUGACGAAGCUUUGUGUGACGGUAGUGGGUAAAGAAGCACCGGCUAACUACGUG